CAGCAGCCGCGGUAAUACGGAGGGGGUUAGCGUUGUUCGGAAUUACUGGGCGUAAAGCGCUCGUAGGCGGAUUGGUCAGUCAGAGGUGAAAGCCCAGGGCUCAACCUUGGAAUUGCCUUUGAUACUGCCAGUCUUGAGUUCAGGAGAGGUAAGCGGAAUUCCGAGUGUAGAGGUGAAAUUCGUAGAUAUUCGGAAGAACACCAGUGGCGAAGGCGACUAACUGGACACGUAUUGACGCUGAGGUACGAAAGCGUGGGGAGCAAACAGGAUUAGAUACCCUGGUAG
Molecule: ribosomal RNA, 285 nt
Filed under: Ctenophora environmental sample
Lineage: Eukaryota; Metazoa; Ctenophora
Description: partial Bacterial small subunit ribosomal RNA
Rfam family: Bacterial small subunit ribosomal RNA
Source: RNAcentral